GGAGGUGAGGGCGAUCUGGCUGCGACAUCUGUCAUCCCAUUGAUGGCCGUGGGUUGAUUCGGCUGAUCUGGCUGGCUAGGUAGGUGUCCCCUUCCUCCCUCAUCACUCCAUGUGCAUCCCUCCCAAAGUUGUGUGCUGGGUCGAAGAGGAGAGCCUUCCCCGGAGACGGACCAGUCUUCAGCUGAGGGUAUAUUAGCACCUGUGCUCCCGUUAGAACCUCCUAACAAGCUCCCAAGAACUGCAUGAACUGUAGAACUCCAGGUGAUGCAGUGGUCUGAAAGUGGCCAAAAAGGCCAUCAUUA
Unclassified non-coding RNA from Erinaceus europaeus (western European hedgehog), 302 nucleotides. Its record names the gene 7SK. It matches the Rfam family "7SK RNA". From Rfam's summary of the family: 7SK was discovered as an abundant small nuclear RNA in the mid-70s but a possible function has only recently been suggested. NCBI's taxonomy places the organism in Eukaryota, Metazoa, Chordata, Mammalia, Eulipotyphla, Erinaceidae. The record is from Ensembl.